GAUGAAGAACGCAGCAAAAUGCGAUAAGUAAUGUGAAUUGCAGAAUUCAGUGAAUCAUCGAAUCUUUGAACGCACAUUGCGCCCGCCAGUAUUCUGGCGGGCAUGCCUGUUCGAGCGUCAUUUCAACCCUCAAGCCCAGCUUGGUGUUGGGAUCUGUCCUUACCGACAGUCCCCAAAUUGAUUGGCGGUCACGUCGAGCUUCCAUAGCGUAGUAAUUUACACAUCGUUACUGGUAAUCGUCGCGGCCACGCCGUUAAACCCCAACUUCUGAAUGUUGACCUAGGAUCAGGUAGGAAUACCCGCUGAACUUAAGCAUAUCAAUAAGCGGAGGA
Molecule: unclassified non-coding RNA, 332 nt
Filed under: soil metagenome
Description: partial contains 5.8S ribosomal RNA, internal transcribed spacer 2, and large subunit ribosomal RNA
Rfam family: 5.8S ribosomal RNA (bases 1-120)
Source: RNAcentral